GACGAACGCUGGCGGCGUGCCUAAUACAUGCAAGUCGAACGAGAGCGACCGGUGCUUGCACUGGUCAAUCUAGUGGCGAACGGGUGAGUAACACGUGGGUAACCUGCCCAUCAGAGGGGGAUAACAUCCGGAAACGGAUGCUAAAACCGCAUAGGUCUUCGAACCGCAUGGUUUGAAGAGGAAAAGAGGCGCAAGCUUCUGCUGAUGGAUGGACCCGCGGUGCAUUAGCUAGUUGGUGAGGUAACGGCUCACCAAGGCCGUGAUGCAUAGCCGACCUGAGAGGGUGAUCGGCCACAUUGGGACUGAGACACGGCCCAAACUCCUACGGGAGGCAGCAGUAGGGAAUCUUCCGCAAUGGACGCAAGUCUGACGGAGCAACGCCGCGUGAGUGAAGAAGGUUUUCGGAUCGUAAAACUCUGUUGUUAGAGAAGAACAAGUGCUAGAGUAACUGUUAGCGCCUUGACG
RNAcentral lists this ribosomal RNA (465 nucleotides) under Granulicatella adiacens. Its description in RNAcentral is "bacterial SSU rRNA". It matches the Rfam family "Bacterial small subunit ribosomal RNA", at positions 28 to 474 of the family's 1533-position model. Lineage: Bacteria; Bacillati; Bacillota; Bacilli; Lactobacillales; Carnobacteriaceae. The record is from RNAcentral.